RNAcentral lists this ribosomal RNA (188 nucleotides) under uncultured bacterium. RNAcentral describes it as "partial 16S ribosomal RNA". It matches the Rfam family "Bacterial small subunit ribosomal RNA", at positions 338 to 523 of the family's 1533-position model. The record is from RNAcentral.
CCUACGGGAGGCAGCAGUGAGGAAUAUUGGUCAAUGGCCGCGAGGCUGAACCAGCCAAGUAGCGUGAAGGAUGACGGCCCUACGGGUUGUAAACUUCUUUUAUGCGGGAUUAAUGUGAGGUACGUGUACCUUAUUGCAGGUACCGCAUGAAUAAGCAUCGGCUAACUCCGUGCCAGCAGCCGCGGUAA